GACGAACGCUGGCGGCGUGCUUAACACAUGCAAGUCGAACGAUGAAGCCUAGCUUGCUAGGUGUGUUAGUGGCGAACGGGUGAGUAAUACGUGAGUAACCUACCUUUAACUCUGGGAUAUGCCUGGGAAACUGGGUCUAAUACCGGAUACGACCAAUCUCCGCACGGGGUGUGGGUGGGAAGGGUUAUGUGGUGGUUAUAGAUGGGCUCACGGCCUAUCAGCUUGUUGGUGAGGUAACGGCUCACCAAGGCGACGACGGGUAGCCGGCCUGAGAGGGUGACCGGCCACACUGGGACUGAGAUACGGCCCAGACUCCUACGGGAGGCAGCAGUGGGGAAUAUUGCACAAUGGGCGCAAGCCUGAUGCAGCGACGCCGCGUGCGGGAUGACGGCCUUCGGGUUGUAAACCUCUGUUAGCAGGGAAGAAGAGAAAUUGACGGUACCUGCAGAGAAAGCGCCGGCUAACUACGUG
RNAcentral lists this ribosomal RNA (471 nucleotides) under uncultured bacterium. Its description in RNAcentral is "partial 16S ribosomal RNA". It matches the Rfam family "Bacterial small subunit ribosomal RNA", at positions 28 to 507 of the family's 1533-position model. The record is from RNAcentral.